UGUGGAAUAGUGUAAGAUGCACUUGAAAUUUUGGGUUUCAAAGAUUUAGUUUGACUCUAAAUUUUACAG
This 69-nucleotide transfer RNA is filed under the name Dryadomorpha sp. EMHAU-2015-Zz060407. Its description in RNAcentral is "tRNA-Gln". The record is from RNAcentral. Lineage: Eukaryota; Metazoa; Arthropoda; Insecta; Hemiptera; Cicadellidae.